CCAGACUCCUACGGGAGGCAGCAGUGGGGAAUCUUCCGCAAUGGACGAAAGUCUGACGGAGCAACGCCGCGUGAGUGAUGACGGCCUUCGGGUUGUAAAGCUCUGUUAAUCGGGACGAAAGGCCUUCUUGCGAAUAGUGAGAAGGAUUGACGGUACCGGAAUAGAAAGCCACGGCUAACUACGUGCCAGCAGCCGCGGUAAUACGUAGGUGGCAAGCGUUGUCCGGAAUUAUUGGGCGUAAAGCGCGCGCAGGCGGAUAGGUCAGUCUGUCUUAAAAGUUCGGGGCUUAACCCCGUGAUGGGAUGGAAACUGCCAAUCUAGAGUAUCGGAGAGGAAAGUGGAAUUCCUAGUGUAGCGGUGAAAUGCGUAGAUAUUAGGAAGAACACCAGUGGCGAAGGCGACUUUCUGGACGAAAACUGACGCUGAGGCGCGAAAGCCAGGGGAGCGAACGGGAUUAGAUACCCCGGUAGUCCUGGCUGUAAACGAUGGGUACUAGGUGUAGGAGGUAUCGACCCCUUCUGUGCCGGAGUUAACGCAAUAAGUACCCCGCCUGGGGAGUACGACCGCAAGGUUGAAACUCAAAGGAAUUGACGGGGGCCC
This 600-nucleotide ribosomal RNA is filed under the name uncultured bacterium. RNAcentral's name for it is "bacterial SSU rRNA". It matches the Rfam family "Bacterial small subunit ribosomal RNA", at positions 331 to 922 of the family's 1533-position model. The record is from RNAcentral.